AAUCGCCCUAGCCGCCGUCGCCACCAGGGAACACUCCCGAGCCGCCGCCAGGAAGCCAUCCGCCGUUGACUGCCAGGGAGCCAGCGUGUGUGCCUGGCUGGAGUCCUCCGUGCACCCGCGCGCCUUGCCUGAGCCGCGGUGGUGCGCGGUCGUGGCCGAAGCACGCCUUCUGCUCCACGCCGGGGAGCAGCACCGCGCGCCUAGGCCGGCGUUGCCCACGUCGAGCACGCGACCCACGCAGGGAGCCGUGCAUCCGCAUGGCCGCCGAGUUCUCGCACCGCCGGCCAGUGCCCGCGUCCGGGUCACCACCGGCCAGUGCCCGCGUCCGGGUCGCCGCAACCUCGCACCGCCGGCCGGUACCCGCACCCUGGGCCGCCGCGGCCUCGCCAGGAGACCGCGCUGUGAGCUGUACUGCGCAGGGAGGCACGCCCGCCAUAGGGCAGAUCCGUGGCCGCUCUAGGGAGCUAGCGUGGCACUCGCUUGGCCCGAGUCGCGGUGCUGCUCGCUCUUGGCCGAGUCCCACCGUUUGCCCGCGCGAUGGCCUCGCCCGCGCCUAGGCCGACCUUGAUGUUCCAGGCGAUCCCACUCCCCCACCCCCUCCCCCCAACCGGCCGUCGUGAUGGCAACCGCCACUGGCCGGACAGAGGGCCAUUAGGCCCUCCCAUUGGGGUAGGAAGAUAGGGCCACCCCGUUUGGGCGGUGGCCAGUGAAGAUGACGCGUCCUCGUGGAGCGUCGACGACGCGAGGGGGCUGUCCACGACGGGAAGCGAUGGUUCCAACAAGCACCGAUGCCGGCGGCAAAGGGGAACGACGUUCAACUGCCCCUGCAGUGGGUGGAGGCGGCGGUGGUGCCGCCAAAUCGACUUUCAUGGGGGCAGAUGCAGACGACCCCGCGUCAACCACCAGCACCGGUGGUGACGGGGAUGCAGUGGGGAGGCCGCACUCCACCACCGGCAGUGGGACGACCGCUGCCCACCCAUGCAGCACGCAGAAGUGCACGUUUUGCACUUGCACGCGGCGUUUAGGGAUCUCGUGCACAGUGCACUGGUGGAAGCGCUGCGGCUUGCCCAGUGGCGAACGCCUCCAACAUCGCAUCAUCAACAGUGUGUAGAACUUCGUGCAUACGACGUAUGCGCAUGGAAAUGUGCUCAGUGGUAAAGGGAGAAAGGACAGAGACAAAUGACAGUAACAGUUGCUUUAUUGUAGAGAGUUUGUGAAUAUAUACAACUGUAAGGGUACUACCCAAGGGGUGUGUCCCUUGGGGUUGAAUUGAUCACAACAAUAUUUUGUAACACUUCUAUCCUUUUCAAGGGCCGUGUCAAAGAUUUUGGGAUUCUGAUAAAAA
Molecule: long non-coding RNA, 1345 nt
Organism: Zea mays
Lineage: Eukaryota; Viridiplantae; Streptophyta; Magnoliopsida; Poales; Poaceae
Exons: 2
Source: RefSeq, a predicted model, not a curated record